ACUAAGCGUACACGGUGGAUGCCCUGGCAGUCAGAGGCGAUGAAGGACGUGCUAAUCUGCGAAAAGCGCCGGCGAGGUGAUAUGAACCUUUGACCCGGCGAUGUCCGAAUGGGGAAACCCAGUGCAAUCCGUUGCACUAUCGUUAACUGAAUACAUAGGUUAACGAGGCGAACCGGGGGAACUGAAACAUCUAAGUACCCCGAGGAAAAGAAAUCAACCGAGAUUCCCCCAGUAGCGGCGAGCGAACGGGGAGCAGCCCGGAGUCUGAAUCAGCUUGUGUGUUAGUGGAACGGUCUGGAAAGUCCGACGGUACAGGGUGAUAGUCCCGUACACGAAAGCACACUUGCUGUGAACUCGAAGAGUAGGGCGGGACACGUGGUAUCCUGUCUGAAUAUGGGGGGACCAUCCUCCAAGGCUAAAUACUCCUGACUGACCGAUAGUGAACCAGUACCGUGAGGGAAAGGCGAAAAGAACCCCGGCGAGGGGAGUGAAAAAGAACCUGAAACCGUGUACGUACAAGCAGUGGGAGCCUCUUUAUGGGGUGACUGCGUACCUUUUGUAUAAUGGGUCAGCGACUUAUAUUCUGUAGCAAGGUUAACCGUAUAGGGGAGCCGAAGGGAAACCGAGUCUUAACUGGGCGUUAAGUUGCAGGGUAUAGACCCGAAACCCGGUGAUCUAGCCAUGGGCAGGUUGAAGGUUGGGUAACACUAACUGGAGGACCGAACCGACUAAUGUUGAAAAAUUAGCGGAUGACCUGUGGCUGGGGGUGAAAGGCCAAUCAAACCGGGAGAUAGCUGGUUCUCCCCGAAAGCUAUUUAGGUAGCGCCUCGUGAACUCAUCUUCGGGGGUAGAGCACUGUUUCGGCUAGGGGGCCAUCCCGGCUUACCAACCCGAUGCAAACUACGAAUACCGAAGAAUGUUAUCACGGGAGACACACGGCGGGUGCUAACGUCCGUCGUGAAGAGGGAAACAACCCAGACCGCCAGCUAAGGUCCCAAAGUCAUGGUUAAGUGGGAAACGAUGUGGGAAGGCACAGACAGCCAGGAUGUUGGCUUAGAAGCAGCCAUCAUUUAAAGAAAGCGUAAUAGCUCACUGGUCGAGUCGGCCUGCGCGGAAGAUGUAACGGGGCUAAACCAUGCACCGAAGCUGCGGCAGCGACGCUUAUGCGUUGUUGGGUAGGGGAGCGUUCUGUAAGCCGUUGAAGGUGUCCUGUGAGGGGUGCUGGAGGUAUCAGAAGUGCGAAUGCUGACAUAAGUAACGAUAAAGCGGGUGAAAAGCCCGCUCGCCGGAAGACCAAGGGUUCCUGUCCAACGUUAAUCGGGGCAGGGUGAGUCGACCCCUAAGGCGAGGCCGAAAGGCGUAGUCGAUGGGAAACAGGUUAAUAUUCCUGUACUUGGUGUUACUGCGAAGGGGGGACGGAGAAGGCUAUGUCAGCCGGGCGACGGUUGUCCCGGUUUAAGCAUGUAGGCGGAGGUUCCAGGUAAAUCCGGUACCUUAUUAACGCUGAGGUGUGAUGACGAGGCACUACGGUGCUGAAGUGAUAAAUGCCCUGCUUCCAGGAAAAGCCUCUAAGCAUCAGGUAACACGAAAUCGUACCCCAAACCGACACAGGUGGUCAGGUAGAGAAUACCAAGGCGCUUGAGAGAACUCGGGUGAAGGAACUAGGCAAAAUGGUGCCGUAACUUCGGGAGAAGGCACGCUGAUAUGUAGGUGAAGUCCCUGCGGACGGAGCUGAAAUCAGUCGAAGAUACCAGCUGGCUGCAACUGUUUAUUAAAAACACAGCACUGUGCAAACACGAAAGUGGACGUAUACGGUGUGACGCCUGCCCGGUGCCGGAAGGUUAAUUGAUGGGGUUAGCGGCAACGCGAAGCUCUUGAUCGAAGCCCCGGUAAACGGCGGCCGUAACUAUAACGGUCCUAAGGUAGCGAAAUUCCUUGUCGGGUAAGUUCCGACCUGCACGAAUGGCGUAAUGAUGGCCAGGCUGUCUCCACCCGAGACUCAGUGAAAUUGAACUCGCUGUGAAGAUGCAGUGUACCCGCGGCAAGACGGAAAGACCCCGUGAACCUUUACUAUAGCUUGACACUGAACACUGGUCCUUGAUGUGUAGGAUAGGUGGGAGGCUUUGAAGCGUGGACGCCAGUCUGCGUGGAGCCAACCUUGAAAUACCACCCUUUAAUGGCUGGUGUUCUAACGUAGACCCGUAAUCCGGGUUGCGGACAGUGUCUGGUGGGUAGUUUGACUGGGGCGGUCUCCUCCCAAAGAGUAACGGAGGAGCACGAAGGUUGGCUAAUCCUGGUCGGACAUCAGGAGGUUAGUGCAAUGGCAUAAGCCAGCUUGACUGCGAGCGUGACGGCGCGAGCAGGUGCGAAAGCAGGUCAUAGUGAUCCGGUGGUUCUGAAUGGAAGGGCCAUCGCUCAACGGAUAAAAGGUACUCCGGGGAUAACAGGCUGAUACCGCCCAAGAGUUCAUAUCGACGGCGGUGUUUGGCACCUCGAUGUCGGCUCAUCACAUCCUGGGGCUGAAGUAGGUCCCAAGGGUAUGGCUGUUCGCCAUUUAAAGUGGUACGCGAGCUGGGUUUAGAACGUCGUGAGACAGUUCGGUCCCUAUCUGCCGUGGGCGCUGGAGAAUUGAGGGGGGCUGCUCCUAGUACGAGAGGACCGGAGUGGACGCAUCACUGGUGUUCGGGUUGUCAUGCCAAUGGCACUGCCCGGUAGCUAAAUGCGGAAGAGAUAAGUGCUGAAAGCAUCUAAGCACGAAACUUGCCCCGAGAUGAGUUCUCCCUGAGACUUUAAGUCUCCUGAAGGAACGUUGAAGACGACGACGUUGAUAGGUCGGGUGUGUAAGCGCAGCGAUGCGUUGAGCUAACCGAUACUAAUGAACCGUGAGGCUUAACC
Molecule: ribosomal RNA, 2895 nt
Filed under: Enterobacter cloacae
Lineage: Bacteria; Pseudomonadati; Pseudomonadota; Gammaproteobacteria; Enterobacterales; Enterobacteriaceae
Description: bacterial LSU rRNA
Rfam family: Bacterial large subunit ribosomal RNA
Source: RNAcentral